This 521-nucleotide ribosomal RNA is filed under the name uncultured bacterium. RNAcentral describes it as "bacterial SSU rRNA". It matches the Rfam family "Archaeal small subunit ribosomal RNA", at positions 345 to 866 of the family's 1478-position model. The record is from RNAcentral.
AACCUCCGCAAUGUGAGAAAUCGCGACGGGGGGAUCCCAAGUGCCAUUCUUAACGGGAUGGCUUUUCAUUAGUGUAAAAAGCUUUUGGAAUAAGAGCUGGGCAAGACCGGUGCCAGCCGCCGCGGUAACACCGGCAGCUCUAGUGGUAGCAGUUUUUAUUGGGCCUAAAGCGUCCGUAGCCGGUUUAAUAAGUCUCUGGUGAAAUCCUGUAGCUUAACUGUGGGAAUUGCUGGAGAUACUAUUAGACUUGAGACCGGGAGAGGUUAGAGGUACUCCCAGGGUAGAGGUGAAAUUCUGUAAUCCUGGGAGGACCGCCUGUUGCGAAGGCGUCUAACUGGAACGGUUCUGACGGUGAGGGACGAAAGUUAGGGGCGCGAACCGGAUUAGAUACCCGGGUAGUCCUAACUGUAAACGAUGCGGACUUGGUGUUGGGGUGGCUUUGAGCUGUCUCAGUGCCGAAGGGAAGCUGUUAAGUCCGCCGCCUGGGAAGUACGGUCGCAAGACUGAAACUUAAAGGAAUU